ACGGGUGAGUAACACGUAGACAACCUGCCGACAGGAUGGGGACAACAUUCCGAAAGGAAUGCUAAUACCGAAUGAAGCGGAGGAGAGGCAUCUCUCUUCCGUGAAAGAUGGCCUCUGAAUAUGCUAUCACCUGUUGAUGGGUCUGCGUCUGAUUAGCUGGUUGGUGAGGUAACGGCCCACCAAGGCGACGAUCAGUAGCCGGUCUGAGAGGAUGAACGGCCACAUUGGGACUGAGACACGGCCCAGACUCCUACGGGAGGCAGCAGUGGGGAAUCUUCCGCAAUGGGCGCAAGCCUGACGGAGCAACGCCGCGUGAGUGAAGAAGGUCUUCGGAUCGUAAAGCUCUGUUGACGGGGACGAACGUGCGGAGUGCGAAUAGCGCUUUGUAAUGACGGUACCUGUCGAGGAAGCCACGGCUAACUACGUGCCAGCAGCCGCGGUAAUACGUAGGUGGCGAGCGUUGUCCGGAAUCAUUGGGCGUAAAGGGAGCGCAGGCGGGCCGGUAAGUCUUACUUAAAAGUGCGGGGCUCAACCCCGUGAUGGGAGAGAAACUAUCGGUCUUGAGUACAGGAGAGGAAAGCGGAAUUCCCAGUGUAGCGGUGAAAUGCGUAGAUAUUGGGAAGAACACCAGUGGCGAAGGCGGCUUUCUGGACUGCAACUGACGCUGAGGCUCGAAAGCCAGGGGAGCGAACGGGAUUAGAU
Molecule: ribosomal RNA, 702 nt
Filed under: uncultured bacterium
Lineage: Bacteria
Description: bacterial SSU rRNA
Rfam family: Bacterial small subunit ribosomal RNA
Source: RNAcentral